CAGCCGCCACGGUAAUACGGAGGGUGCAAGCGUUAAUCGGAAUUACUGGGCGUAAAGCGCACGCAGGCGGUCUGACAAGUCAGAUGUGAAAUCCCCGGGCUUAACCUGGGAACUGCAUUUGAAACUGUCAGGCUGGAGUCUUGUAGAGGGGGGUGGAAUUCCAGGUGUAGCGGUGAAAUGCGUAGAGAUCUGGAGGAAUACCGGUGGCGAAGGCGGCCCCCUGGACAAAGACUGACGCUCAGGUGCGAAAGCGUGGGGAGCAAACAGGAUUAGAUACCCGUGUAGUCCCUGUCUCUUAUAC
This 301-nucleotide ribosomal RNA is filed under the name uncultured bacterium. Its description in RNAcentral is "partial 16S ribosomal RNA". It matches the Rfam family "Bacterial small subunit ribosomal RNA", at positions 509 to 807 of the family's 1533-position model. The record is from RNAcentral.